AUUGAACGCUGGCGGCAUGCCUUACACAUGCAAGUCGAACGGUAACGGGCCUUCGGGUGCCGACGAGUGGCGAACGGGUGAGUAAUGCAUCGGAACGUACCUUUCAGUGGGGGAUAACGUAGCGAAAGUUACGCUAAUACCGCAUAUUCUGUGAGCAGGAAAGCAGGGGAUCGCAAGACCUUGCGCUGAUUGAGCGGCCGAUGUCGGAUUAGCUAGUUGGUGGGGUAAAGGCUCACCAAGGCGACGAUCCGUAGCUGGUCUGAGAGGACGACCAGCCACACUGGAACUGAGACACGGUCCAGACUCCUACGGGAGGCAGCAGUGGGGAAUUUUGGACAAUGGGGGCAACCCUGAUCCAGCCAUUCCGCGUGAGUGAAGAAGGCCUUCGGGUUGGUAAAGACUCUUUCUAGCAGGAACGAAACGGU
This 425-nucleotide ribosomal RNA is filed under the name uncultured bacterium. Its description in RNAcentral is "bacterial SSU rRNA". It matches the Rfam family "Bacterial small subunit ribosomal RNA", at positions 30 to 455 of the family's 1533-position model. The record is from RNAcentral.